This 446-nucleotide ribosomal RNA is filed under the name uncultured bacterium. RNAcentral describes it as "partial 16S ribosomal RNA". It matches the Rfam family "Bacterial small subunit ribosomal RNA", at positions 338 to 795 of the family's 1533-position model. The record is from RNAcentral.
CCUACGGGGGGCAGCAGUCGAGAAUCAUUCACAAUGGGGGAAACCCUGAUGGUGCGACGCCGCGUGGGGGAAUGAAGGUCUUCGGAUUGUAAACCCCUGUCAUGUGGGAGCAAAUUAAAAAGAUAGUACCACAAGAGGAAGAGACGGCUAACUCUGUGCCAGCAGCCGCGGUAAUACAGAGGUCUCAAGCGUUGUUCGGAAUCACUGGGCGUAAAGUGUGCGUAGGCUGUUUCGUAAGUCGUGUGUGAAAGGCGCGGGCUCAACCCGCGGACGGCACAUGAUACUGCGAGACUAGAGUAAUGGAGGGGGAACCGGAAUUCUCGGUGUAGCAGUGAAAUGCGUAGAUAUCGAGAGGAACACUCGUGGCGAAGGUGGGUUCCUGGACAUUAACUGACGCUGAGGCACGAAGGCCAGGGGAGCGAAAGGGAUUAGAUACCCCAGUAGUC